AUACGGAGGAUGCAAGCGUUAUCCGGAUUUAUUGGGUUUAAAGGGUGCGUAGGCGGGACUGUAAGUCAGGGGUGAAAUACUGCAGCUUAACUGUAGCAUUGCCUUUGAAACUGCCGUUCUUGAGUGCAGUUGAGGUAGGCGGAAUGUGGUGUGUAGCGGUGAAAUGCAUAGAUAUACCACAGAACGCCGAUUGCGAAGGCAGCUUACUAAGCUGUUACUGACGCUGAGGCACGAAAGCGUGGGGAUCAAACAGGAUUAGAUACCCUGGUAGUCCACGCUGUAAACGAUGAUUACUGGUUGUUAGCGAUAUAUAGCUAGUGACUGAGCGAAAGCAUUAAGUAAUCCACCUGGGGAGUACGUCGGCAACGAUGAAACUCAAAUGAAUUGACGGGG
This 393-nucleotide ribosomal RNA is filed under the name uncultured bacterium. Its description in RNAcentral is "partial 16S ribosomal RNA". It matches the Rfam family "Bacterial small subunit ribosomal RNA", at positions 523 to 918 of the family's 1533-position model. The record is from RNAcentral.